UUGAAAGGUUAUGUUGUGUUCUUUUAUUGACAUGUGUUGAACACAGUACAUAUAAAUAUUAAUUUUUUUUUCAAUAAAUUAUGAUCAUUUAUUAAUAUGACAAGUAACAAAAGUAUCAUCGAAUAAAUUUGAUGAUAAAACAUUAAAAGUAUAACUCUACUGUCCAAUAGAUAUUUUACAUUUAAACAUGUUAAAAAAUAUAUAUCUACCUUUGAAAUUGCAAGCACGUAAGACUGCAGCAACUGCUACAGCAUCUACAGCACAAAUAAAAAGUUCGAAGCGAAAAGUAAAAGUAGAAUUAGAUGAAAAAAUUAGACAACAAAUUCUCAAUGAUGAAUUAAAACCCAAAAAACAACCAGGAACAGCUCAUCAAGUUGCACUUCAUUUACCAGAGUGGCUGUGUAAAGCAGUAAGAACUCUUGGUUCAGAGACUUGUAUGCCAUCAUUCGAAGAUGAAAUACUGGUACUUCAUCGAUAUUUACAUAGUCGACAACCUCCAAGUUAUCAAGCCCAUGUACAGAAAAAGUUUUCAGAAAUUAUUAAAGAAUUAACAGAACGAGUAGAUUUUGAAGCGGUUACAUCUGAAAAUAUGGAAGAAAUCGAAAAUAAAAUUGAAGUAGAUGCUCAUACAAAAUUAAAACAAUCUGUAUACAAUUGGCAACCUAUUGAAUAUACUUAUCAAAAAGGCUUGACAUAUUUGAUUGCAAGAGGAGGACAUAAUUAUGCAGCUUUGUAUACAAUUUUAAGCGAAAUCAAAAAACGUGAUCCUUCAUUUAUUCCCAAAACUUUAUUUGAUUUUGGAUCUGGUGUUGGCAGUGUAUCAUGGGUUGCAAUGACUUUGUGGCCAAAAUCUAUCAAAGAGUAUCUUGGUAUUGAAAUUUCUGAACCGAUGAUGAAACUUGCACAAAAAAUCAUCAAUAUGUCGGACACACCCAUUCAAAAUGUCUUCUUCAAACAAUACUUCCCAGUUGCCUCGCCAUCUUAUGAUCUUAUUGUUAGUGCAUUUUCUUUACUUGAAUUACCAACUAGAAGAAAUCGAAUGGAAACUGUGCUCAAUCUAUGGAGAAAAACUGCUCGCUAUUUAGUGAUUGUAGAAGAAGGAACUACUGCAGGUUUUGCGAUAAUAAAUGAAGUGAGGGAAUUUUUCUUGCGUGUAGUAAAAUCUCAUACUGAGAAAGGAAUGUAUAAGGCAUUCAUUUUUGCUCCAUGUCCUCAUCAAUUACCGUGCCCAAUGUUUCAAACCAGAGAUACAGCCUGUAAAUUCAAUGCUUCUUUUUUUGCUCUUCCUUAUUGGAAAAUGAAGAAAAAUCACGUACUGAACACUCAAUUCACAUACAUAGUUUUAAAGAAAGUGAUAAAACAGAAGAAGAUGAAUGGCCUAGAUUAGUACAGCCUGUACUAAAAGGAUCAAAACGGGCAAUAUGUCGAAUGUGUACUGCAGAAGGCAAUUUACAGGAAAUUACUUUUACUAAAUCUAAACAUGAAAGACCACUAUUCAGAUGUGCCAGGAAAAGUCACUUGGGAGAUAGACUUCCAAUUAAAAUUUUUAAUGAUGUUAACGCAUCAGAGACGUCUGACAAUCUUGAAAUGAAUGAUGAAGAAUUGAAUUCAGAUAAUGAUGAUUACGAC
This 1629-nucleotide unclassified non-coding RNA is filed under the name Chelonus insularis. RNAcentral's name for it is "methyltransferase-like protein 17, mitochondrial, transcript variant X2". Lineage: Eukaryota; Metazoa; Arthropoda; Insecta; Hymenoptera; Braconidae. The record is from RNAcentral.